Molecule: ribosomal RNA, 230 nt
Filed under: uncultured bacterium
Lineage: Bacteria
Description: partial 16S ribosomal RNA
Rfam family: Bacterial small subunit ribosomal RNA
Source: RNAcentral
GUAAGCGUGCGCAGGCGGUUUGUAAGACUGUCGUGAAAUCCCCGGGCUCAACCUGGGAAUGGCGAUGGUGACUGCAAGGCUAGAGUUUGGCAGAGGGGGGUAGAAUUCCACGUGUAGCAGUGAAAUGCGUAGAUAUGUGGAGGAACACCGAUGGCGAAGGCAGCCCCCUGGGUCAAAACUGACGCUCAUGCACGAAAGCGUGGGGAGCAAACAGGAUUAGAUACCCCGGU